This 468-nucleotide ribosomal RNA is filed under the name uncultured bacterium. Its description in RNAcentral is "partial 16S ribosomal RNA". It matches the Rfam family "Bacterial small subunit ribosomal RNA", at positions 28 to 507 of the family's 1533-position model. The record is from RNAcentral.
GACGAACGCUGGCGGCGUGCUUAACACAUGCAAGUCGAACGGAAAGGCCCUGCUUUUGUGGGGUGCUCGAGUGGCGAACGGGUGAGUAACACGUGAGUAACCUGCCCUUGACUUUGGGAUAACUUCAGGAAACUGGGGCUAAUACCGGAUAGGAGCUCCUGCUGCAUGGUGGGGGUUGGAAAGUUUCGGCGGUUGGGGAUGGACUCGCGGCUUAUCAGCUUGUUGGUGUGGUAGUGGCUUACCAAGGCUUGGACGGGUAGCCGGCCUGAGAGGGUGACCGGCCACAUUGGGACUGAGAUACGGCCCAGACUCCUACGGGAGGCAGCGGUGGGGAAUAUUGCACAGUGGGCGGAAGCCUGAUGCAGCAACGCCGCGUGCGGGAUGACGUCCUUCGGGUUGUGAACCGCAUUCGCCUGUGACGAGGCGUGAGUGACGGUAAUGGGUAAAGAAGCACCGGCUAACUACGUG